AAGUCGUAACAAGGUCUCCGUAGGUGAACCUGCGGAGGGAUCAUUACCGAGUGAGGGCCCCCGGCCCGACCUCCAACCCUUUGUUGACCAACACUUGUUGCCUCGGGGGCGACCCGGUCUCCGCGCCGGGGUCCCCGGUGGACCGCUUCAACUCUGUUAUCUGUACGUCGGAGUACUUGAUGAAUCAAUCAAAACUUUCAACAACGGACCUCUUGGUUCUGGCAUCGAUGAAGAACGCAGCGAAAUGCGAUAAGUAAUGUGAAUUGCAGAAUUCAGUGAAUCAUCGAAUCUUUGAACGCACAUUGCGCCCUUUGGCAUUCCGAGGGGCAUGCCUGUUCGAGCGUCAUUACACCACUCAAGCCCGACUUGGUAUUGGGCGGUAGGGCUGUCCUACGCCUCAAUUUCACCGGCUAGACGACCCGUAUCUCAGCGUUGUGGUAUUCAAUUCGCUGGCGAGAAGGGCGGUCUGCGCCGUUAAACUUCUAUCAAGGUUGACCUCGGAUCAGGUAGGGAUACCCGCUGAACUUAAGCAUAUCAAUAAGCGGAGGAAAAGAAACCAACAGGGAUUGCCCUAGUAACGGCGAGUGAAGCGGCAACAGCUCAAAUUUGAAAUCUGGCGCAAGCCCGAGUUGUAAUUUGUAGAGGAUGCUUCGGGGCAGCGGCCGGUCUAAGUUCCUUGGAACAGGACGUCAAAGAGGGUGAGAGUCCCGUACGUUGACCGGCUGGCACCCCAUACGUAGCUCCUUCGAAGAGUCGAGUUGUUUGGGAAUGCAGCUCUAAAUGGGAGGUAAAUUUCUUCUAAAGCUAAAUACCGGCCAGAGACCGAUAGCGCACAAGUAGAGUGAUCGAAAGAUGAAAAGCACUUUGGAAAGAGAGUUAAAAAGCACGUGAAAUUGUUGAAAGGGAAGCGCUUGCAACCAGACUUGUUAACGGUGUUCCGCCGGUCUUUUGACCGGUCCACUCGCCGUCUGCAGGCCAGCAUCGUCUGGGGCCGCUGGAUAAAGGUGUCGGGAAUGUAUCUCCUCUCGGGGAGUGUUAUAGCCCUUCGCGCAAUACGGUGUGCCCCGGGCGAGGUCCGCGCUUCGGCUUGGAUGCUGGCGUAAUGGUAGUAAGCGGCC
This 1118-nucleotide ribosomal RNA is filed under the name uncultured fungus. RNAcentral describes it as "eukaryotic LSU rRNA". The stretch from base 493 to 1118 matches the Rfam family "Eukaryotic large subunit ribosomal RNA", at positions 1 to 649 of the family's 3401-position model. The record is from RNAcentral. Lineage: Eukaryota; Fungi.